Molecule: ribosomal RNA, 254 nt
Filed under: uncultured bacterium
Lineage: Bacteria
Description: partial 16S ribosomal RNA
Rfam family: Bacterial small subunit ribosomal RNA
Source: RNAcentral
UACGAAGGGGGCUAGCGUUGUUCGGAUUUACUGGGCGUAAAGCGCACGUAGGCGGUUUGUUAAGUGAGAGGUGAAAUCCCAGAGCUCAACUCUGGAACUGCCUUUCAUACUGGCAAGCUAGAGUCCGGAAGAGGUAAGUGGAACUCCUAGUGUAGAGGUGGAAUUCGUAGAUAUUCGGAGGAACACCAGUGGCGAAGGCGGCUCACUGGCUCGGUACUGACGCUGAGGUGCGAAAGCGUGGGGAGCAAACAGGG